RNAcentral lists this ribosomal RNA (515 nucleotides) under uncultured bacterium. RNAcentral's name for it is "partial 16S ribosomal RNA". It matches the Rfam family "Bacterial small subunit ribosomal RNA", at positions 28 to 523 of the family's 1533-position model. The record is from RNAcentral.
GAUGAACGCUGGCGGCGUGCCUAAUACAUGCAAGUCGAGCGAAUUGAUUAAGAGCUUGCUCUUAUGAAGUUAGCGGCGGACGGGUGAGUAACACGUGGGUAACCUGCCCAUGAGACUGGGAUAACUCCGGGAAACCGGGGCUAAUACCGGAUAACAUUUUGAACCGCAUGGUUCGAAAUUGAAAGGCGGCUUCGGCUGUCACUUAUGGAUGGACCCGCGUCGCAUUAGCUAGUUGGUGAGGUAACGGCCCACCAAGGCAACGAUGCGUAGCCGACCUGAAAGGGGAAUCGGCCACACUGAGACUGCGACACGACACAGACUCCUACGGGAGGCAGCAGUAGGGAAUCUUCCGCAAUGGACGAAAGUCUGACGGAGCAACGCCGCGUGAGUGAUGAAGGCUUUCGGGUCGUAAAACUCUGUUGUUAGGGAAGAACAAGUGCUAGUUGAAUAAGCUGGCACCUUGACGGUACCUAACCAGAAAGCCACGGCUAACUACGUGCCAGCAGCCGCAGUAA